This 832-nucleotide long non-coding RNA is filed under the name Cicer arietinum (chickpea). Its description in RNAcentral is "long non-coding RNA (CARI_LNC001265)". Lineage: Eukaryota; Viridiplantae; Streptophyta; Magnoliopsida; Fabales; Fabaceae. The record is from RNAcentral.
UACUACUAAUACAUGAAAAAGAGAAAAUUGAUCUCAAUGUUUAAAUAUAGCUAAAAACAAAUAAUUAAACCAUAAAAUCACAUACCUAGCACAACACUGUGUAUCUUGUUUUGUACGUGAAGAGGGAGCUAACGCAAAAUCACCUCCACGUUUACUCGUCAUUGGAAACAUGAAAUCAAAAAUAAAAAUUGAAUGAAAAACCAUUUAGAAAAAUACAAUGAGAAAUUUAAUGAAGAUGAAAAGAAACAAGAUGAAUCGUAAAGAGGAGAAUAACAAGAUGGAAUAAAAUUAGGAUUAGGCUUCAAUCCGCAUGCAUUUGACUUUUCAAGGAUUUAUGUUUAUGAAAUCUUGUUCUUGAGCUCUCACAUGAUUAGGAAUUAGAAUAGCAAUGUCUCUUUGUAUUUUAUAAUUAAAUUAUGUAAUAAAAUAUGAAAUCUACUUUACAAAUUUAAAAUAAUAAUAAAAUAUAAUUAAUCGACAUAGAAUUUUUCACAUUAUCCGUUUUUUGACACAUCACAAAAAAAAUGAUAUUUCAUAAUAUUUAAAACGUAUGACAAAUAAAAUAAAAUACUAUUUUUACAAUUAAGUUACAAUUAAAUUAAAAUUUUAUAAAAAUUAAAAACAUUUAUAACCUAACAAGAAAUUAUUUUUUUGAACGUAAGAAAAUAUUAAAGCAUAGAAAUAAGACCAAAAGAAGAAAGUAGAGCAAGAUUUAAUGGCAACAAUACCUUUGGCCAAUUACUUAUAAUCAUCUUAUUAUGGAUGUUGAAACUAAACUCACUCUUCUUCAGUUGAAUUGAACGUAGAAUCAUUUCUGAUAGAAUCGUUAAAC